Molecule: ribosomal RNA, 538 nt
Filed under: uncultured bacterium
Lineage: Bacteria
Description: bacterial SSU rRNA
Rfam family: Bacterial small subunit ribosomal RNA
Source: RNAcentral
AUCUUCGGCAAUGGGCGAAAGCCUGACCGAGCGACGCCGCGUGAGCGAUGAAGGCCAUUAGGUUGUAAAGCUCUGUCGAGGGGGAACAAGCCGCAAGGUUGAGUGAUCCCUGGAGGAAGCACGGGCUAAGUUCGUGCCAGCAGCCGCGGUAAGACGAACCGUGCGAACGUUGUUCGGAAUCAUUGGGCUUAAAGGGCGCGUAGGCGGGUGUUCAAGUCCGGGGUGAAAGCCUCCAGCUCAACUGGAGAAGAGCCCCGGAUACUGUUCACCUGGAGAGAGAUAGGGGCACAUGGAACUUCCGGUGGAGCGGUGAAAUGCGUAGAGAUCGGAAGGAACGCCGGUGGCGAAAGCGAUGUGCUGGAUCUUUUCUGACGCUGAGGCGCGAAAGCUAGGGGAGCAAACGGGAUUAGAUACCCCGGUAGUCCUAGCCCUAAACGAUGGGUACUGGGUUGCGGGUCAGACAUAGACUCGCAGCCGAAGCAAAAGUGUUAAGUACCCCGCCUGGGGAGUAUGGUCGCAAGGCUGAAACUCAAAGGAA